CAAUACAUAGUUAAGAGAAUUUUGUCUGUAGUUCAUUAUUUAGCUCAGGGAUUGAGAGCUGUGUGGUGAAUGGCUUUCUCAUUUUUUGCAGCCGAAGGUUAGUUCAAGCUUUUAACUGCUAUCACGGGUUGGCAGCCCAGCUCCACUUGGCGUCUUCUCUUUCCAUUUGUUAGAUGCUACCUGCUAUCAGCAUCGGUGCUCAGGUUUGCCAGCGGCUCUCAGGGAUUCUGGGUAGCCUCACGCAAUGCAGCUAUUAUGUGCAGUUCCACAGCCAUUCCAAAUCACUUCAGUCUAACAUUACCCCAGAACAACAAAGGCAACUUGGCACAAACCUACCCCGGUCCAUGGGUGCACCAAUGUGUAAAGUGAUUUUAAUAAAAUUUUUAUGCAGAAUCCCUUAGGUGAUUGUGAGGGAAAUAAACCUUUACCCUGUGUAAGAUCCAAAUCGUCUGCCUCUCUCUCACUGUGUGAGGAUGAAGAUUCUGCUGGAAACUGGAGGAGCUGUUGCUUUCUCCUGCUCUCUGUUAUUCAUGUUUUCCAGGCCUGGGAACAGAUGGGCACCACCUGACUCAGAAGAGUCUAAUGUACGAUUCACUGUGCUUCACAGGAAAUCAAGCAACAAUGCAGAAGGCGAUGCAGCACCUCAGCAACCAGUCACACACAGUAGGGAAAAUUUACUGAAUCCUGGGUUAAGAAUAUGCCUCUCUCUGAUAAUUGACAUUUGAAUGGGAACUUCCACCCAUCCCAAGGACUGAAUGAGAGCACCUGCAGUAGAAGUAAGGUACCUAGUUCAUGGACACCUUUUGGAAAGAAACCAGGUCUAUUGGACACCGAUCUGCUGUUACCUGGAGGAAAUGGAAAUUAGGCCAAUGAUGCUUCAAGAGACUGUUGAGUGAAUAGACAAAGCUGCACAGGGUGUAUAUCCUGCACUUGUCAACACUCUACAGUGAGCUUUUAAGACCCCAUUUCUUGGCAUAUAAAUUCAGUGUGUGAAAUAUUACAGAGUUCCUCUUUGUAUUUGAAACUACAGUCGUGGAGAGAGUGGGAGAGGGAGAGUGCAUCAUGAAAAAAUAACCAUCGCCUGACAAAUUGGCCAGAGAUCGAACUUCCCAAGCGUUGCACUAA
Molecule: long non-coding RNA, 1125 nt
Organism: Fukomys damarensis (Damara mole-rat)
Lineage: Eukaryota; Metazoa; Chordata; Mammalia; Rodentia; Bathyergidae
Exons: 4
Source: RefSeq, a predicted model, not a curated record